Long non-coding RNA from Sinocyclocheilus grahami, 359 nucleotides. RefSeq lists it as uncharacterized. The transcript has 3 exons. NCBI's taxonomy places the organism in Eukaryota, Metazoa, Chordata, Actinopteri, Cypriniformes, Cyprinidae. The record is from RefSeq and is a predicted model, not a curated record.
GUUUGCCUUCCCUGGUUGUGCAUUAGAGGCAUGGCCAGAGGCAAUGGCAGGUGGAACUAUUGAUUUUCCCUGAAAGCUGAGAUUAUGGUGUGAAGUGUUUUGUUUGCGAGCUAAAAAGGCAGAAUAAUCAUGCAUAAUCAUGUCCAGUGGCCUUGAAACUAAACAGACAUAAGAAGACAGAGCUAAUAGGCAGAUGCUCGGAGAGCAUGACCUCUUCACACUGCACACCGGCCUGACAGCUAGUCACUGUCUCACACACACGCUGAGGCAUUUUAUGGGACAGUAGGAUAAGUGCAGUACAAGAAUGAUGAGACAGACAACAAGAAAUCCCCGUCAUUCUUUUUGGUAGCUAGUUUUGG